GGCUGGUCCGAUGGCAGUGGGUUAUCAGAACUUAUUAACAUUAGUGUCACUAAAGUUGGUAUACCACCCCCCCACGGCUAAAUUUGACUGAUUUUUU
This is an unclassified non-coding RNA of Cavia porcellus (domestic guinea pig), 97 nucleotides long. It matches the Rfam family "Y RNA". Rfam says of the family: Y RNAs are components of the Ro ribonucleoprotein particle (Ro RNP), in association with Ro60 and La proteins. Lineage: Eukaryota; Metazoa; Chordata; Mammalia; Rodentia; Caviidae. The record is from Ensembl.